UUAGAGUGUCAGGUGAACAUUGUAGUGAUUUAUAGAACUUCCCGAAAUAACCUGAAUUAGGUAAAUAAAGGCAACAGUAGUAUACCGCUGUUCAAAACUCAUAUAUCGAUAGCGAAAACAACAAAUCCAGGUUAUAAACUAAAACUGAGGGAAACGCAUUAAAUAUAAGAGGAGAACAAUGACACAAAAGAAACACAACAUUAAAAUGUAACACACGCAGAAACGAACUAUAAUAUAACAAUUGCCAUUUUGGUCAUUUUAAGAAAAAAAUGAUGGGUUGAACCUGGUUUUAUGGCAUGCCAAACUCCUGCAAUAUUUUCGGUUAAAUGGGAUUCUAAAAUAAAAAGGUAAAAUAUAAUGACUGCUAUAUUUUGUCUCAGUCC
This 383-nucleotide long non-coding RNA is filed under the name Mytilus galloprovincialis (Mediterranean mussel). Lineage: Eukaryota; Metazoa; Mollusca; Bivalvia; Mytilida; Mytilidae. The record is from RNAcentral.